Molecule: ribosomal RNA, 274 nt
Filed under: uncultured bacterium
Lineage: Bacteria
Description: partial 16S ribosomal RNA
Rfam family: Bacterial small subunit ribosomal RNA
Source: RNAcentral
AUACGGAGGGUGCAAGCGUUAUUCGGAAUCACUGGGCGUAAAGGACGCGUAGGCGGGUUGACAAGUCAGAUGAGAAAUCCUACAGCUUAACUGUAGAACUGCAUUUGAAACUGCUAACCUAGAGUAUGGGAGGGGGAGAUGGAAUUAGUGGUGUAGGGGUAAAAUCCGUAGAUAUCACUAGGAAUACCGAAAGCGAAGGCGAUCUCCUGGAACAUAACUGACGCUAAGGCGUGAAAGCGUGGGGAGCAAAUAGGAUUAGAAACCCUAGUAGUCC